RNAcentral lists this ribosomal RNA (425 nucleotides) under uncultured Bacteroides sp. Its description in RNAcentral is "bacterial SSU rRNA". It matches the Rfam family "Bacterial small subunit ribosomal RNA", at positions 354 to 776 of the family's 1533-position model. The record is from RNAcentral. Lineage: Bacteria; Pseudomonadati; Bacteroidota; Bacteroidia; Bacteroidales; Bacteroidaceae.
GUGAGGAAUAUUGGUCAAUGGACGAGAGUCUGAACCAGCCAAGUAGCGUGAAGGAUGAAGGUCCUACGGAUUGUAAACUUCUUUUAUAAGGGAAUAAACCCUCCCACGUGUGGGAGCUUGUAUGUACCUUAUGAAUAAGCAUCGGCUAACUCCGUGCCAGCAGCCGCGGUAAUACGGAGGAUGCGAGCGUUAUCCGGAUUUAUUGGGUUUAAAGGGAGCGCAGACGGGUCGUUAAGUCAGCUGUGAAAGUUUGGGGCUCAACCUUAAAAUUGCAGUUGAUACUGGCGUCCUUGAGUGCGGUUGAGGUGUGCGGAAUUCGUGGUGUAGCGGUGAAAUGCUUAGAUAUCACGAAGAACUCCGAUUGCGAAGGCAGCACACUAAGCCGUAACUGACGUUCAUGCUCGAAAGUGUGGGUAUCAAACAGG